Molecule: ribosomal RNA, 394 nt
Filed under: Shigella sonnei
Lineage: Bacteria; Pseudomonadati; Pseudomonadota; Gammaproteobacteria; Enterobacterales; Enterobacteriaceae
Description: bacterial LSU rRNA
Rfam family: Bacterial large subunit ribosomal RNA
Source: RNAcentral
GGGUUGUGAGGUUAAGCGACUAAGCGUACACGGUGGAUGCCCUGGCAGUCAGAGGCGAUGAAGGACGUGCUAAUCUGCGAUAAGCGUCGGUAAGGUGAUAUGAACCGUUAUAACCGGCGAUUUCCGAAUGGGGAAACCCAGUGUGUUUCGACACACUAUCAUUAACUGAAUCCAUAGGUUAAUGAGGCGAACCGGGGGAACUGAAACAUCUAAGUACCCCGAGGAAAAGAAAUCAACCGAGAUUCCCCCAGUAGCGGCGAGCGAACGGGGAGGAGCCCAGAGCCUGAAUCAGUGUGUGUGUUAGUGGAAGCGUCUGGAAAGGCGCGCGAUACAGGGUGACAGCCCCGUACACAAAAAUACACAUAUUGUGAGCUCGAUGAGUAGGGCGGGACAC